RNAcentral lists this long non-coding RNA (2549 nucleotides) under Equus asinus (donkey). Its description in RNAcentral is "lncRNA (ENSEASG00005030577.1)". The record is from RNAcentral. Lineage: Eukaryota; Metazoa; Chordata; Mammalia; Perissodactyla; Equidae.
AACCUGGAAGUGGGACCAGCGGGAGGGAGUCAGUCAGCAGACCCCGCCUCACACGAGGUCCCCGCUGCCCGUCCUAAUCUUCUAGCCUGUGAACCAACAGAAUAGUGGUGGUGCAGCACCACUUAAGACCGUGCUAAAAAUGCACUUGACGCAGCUGCAGGGAGAACACAGCCAACGUCGCAGAACGUCCCCUAACAGCCUCCUGUCUGGUGCUCAGCUGUAAACUUCCCAUUGGUUGGCUGUUCCCACCUGGGACGACCACUUGACUUGUUCUUGACUUUUAUGAAGGAACCACUGUCUCCCCUGAAGCAUCUACUCAAACGCAAAAGGAGGUAUUAGGCAGGGCUCAAACGCUGCUGUGUCUUGUCAGCGUUAACUACAGUGCGUCUGUUUCCAGCACCGUGGCAGCAACUAGGACAAGGCUUUCUUGCUGAACCUGUAUAGUGACACAGUCCACACAGCUUCACUUGCUGUCAUUGCCUUUGUUAGGGACAGUUUCAAAGGCAGCAUUCCAAAUCAGAGAUCCUAAGCCAGAGGACGAAACGCACACACGGAGUACUGGAACCAUGAUCUCAGGCACAUGGAUAUAAGAGCCAGGUCAUUGAGACGCCACCAGCGGAGAGCGCCCCUCCGGUACAUAGUUGUAUAUUCUUCGUUGUGGGUCCUUCUAGUUGUGGCAUGUGGGACGCUGCCUCAGCGUGGUUUGAUGAGAAGUGCCAUGUCCGUGCCCAGGAUUCGAACCAACGAAACACUGGGUCGCCUGCAGCGGAGUGCAUGAACUUAACCACUCAGCCACGGGGCCAGCCCCAAACAGGUUAAGAUUUCUUUGCAGUGCUUUCUUUUUUUUUUUUUUUGAGGAAGAUCAGCCCUGAGCUAACAUCUGCUGCCAAUCCUCCUCUUUUUGCUGAGGAAGACUGGCUCUGAGCUAACAUCCAUGCCCACUUCCUCUACUUUCUAUGUGGGAUGCCUGCCACAGCAUGGCUUGACAAGCGGUGCCAUGUCCACAAUGGGGAUCCGAACUGGUGAACCCAGGGCCGCCGAAGCAGAAUGUGUGCACUUAACUGCUGCACCACUGGGCCAGCUAGAAUAAGGUUUCUAAUAAACUUUCAGAUCGUAAAACUGAACUGGGUAAGAAAUUACAGAACUCUAACAGAGAAACUCAUGACCUCAUACAACUGCUAACAGAAGAUUAAGAUCACGAAUUGAUUACACAGGACUGAAUGAACUGAUGAGGAUGAUUAUGAUUUAUAGGACUUUUCAUUUGAGAUAUUGCUGAUUUUUUGAUGUUCUGUUUCCAGAUUUAAGGAAGUCUUUUCUCUUUUUCUCUCAUGCUAACUAUGACAUAUCAAUUUGAUAAAUUAUACCUUUGUAAGCAGAUUUGAAACGCUUAUUUUUCUCCCUGCCUGAUCCCUCCAGGAUUUGGAAACUCUUAAUGAGUGAGUAUCGUUUUCAUGGCAAUGUAGUUAUUUGCCAUAAGUUCAAUAAGAGUCUGUUCUCCUUAUAACAGGACACAAUUGGAAACAUUGGUUAUCUUACCAAGGCUUUGACUGGAAUGUCAUAUUUGAGAGAAACUGGCAUAGACUCAGAUAUGACCAGACAGCCUUUAAGAAACAAGGGUUGGACUUUGUGGAACAAAGCCACUUGGAAAUAUUGGCCUGGUACCUUGUUUACAAGGAUUCCAGGACCCCGGAAAUACUUCUUAUUAAAUACCUGGUUACUUGCUAACACAAUAUGGGCUGAACUUUGGGAGCCCACCUGCAUCACCGUCUCACUAAGGGACUGGUCCAAUGAGAUGGAACAACCUAUGCUCCUCACCAACAGGAUAACCCCUCAAGAUUGAAGAUGAACAACAAAAGGGGGGAUUGAUACGGGUUAACACAAGGUUAACAUAAGGGAAGCCAUAUUGUAAAGAAGAAACCAUAUUGUAACUUUGAAUGACCUCUGAUUAACUAACCCAGACAUGCUCUGUAGAUUUUAUGGACCCUGUCAGCUGCUAUAAUUUGAUAAGUUUGUUCUUUUGAGUUCCUUAGGAAUGUGAUGACCCCCAGGUAGAGAGUCUGUGCUGAUGGCCAUCAUCAUUGACAACUGAAAGAUCAGGGUAUAGGCCAUUGCUCUGGUCUCUGAUGCAUCUCCAGUAAAACAAAAGACUAUCAGAAACUGAGACCAGAUGUCUUCCCCACCUGGAGAACAGAUGGAGGCCCCACUGGGAUUAGGUCUAUUUUUCAGGGACUGUUAAAAUUUGGGUUGUCUAUACUUCUUGUCCUUCUGAUAAGCCAGGAACAUGAGAAUAUUUCCAAAUGAGUGCUAAAAAUGUCAUUCCUUUAACCCAGAUCUAUGCCCCAAUUGAGCAGGAAGUAGCUAGAUCGGUCAUCGCCCCAAAUCCCUCAAGAAUGAGAAGUGACCAAACAAUAGGGGGGAUUGAAACCAGCAAACAGCCAUUGAUGAUUAAGUAUCUAGGUACUAAAGUUUUUUCCUCUUUGCAGUUACUGAUUAUAGCUUUUAGCUGUUGAACCCAGCCAUUGGUAACUGUGCUGUUUAGGCAAUCUGCU